RNAcentral lists this ribosomal RNA (504 nucleotides) under uncultured bacterium. RNAcentral describes it as "partial 16S ribosomal RNA". It matches the Rfam family "Bacterial small subunit ribosomal RNA", at positions 29 to 523 of the family's 1533-position model. The record is from RNAcentral.
AUUGAACGCUGGCGGCAGGCCUAACACAUGCAAGUCGAACGGUAGCACAGAGAGCUUGCUCUCGGGUGACGAGUGGCGGACGGGUGAGUAACGUCUGGGAAACUGCCCGAUGGAGGGGGAUAACUACUGGAAACGGUAGCUAAUACCGCAUAACGUCGCAAGACCAAAGUGGGGGACCUUCGGGCCUCACACCAUCGGAUGUGCCCAGAUGGGAUUAGCUAGUAGGUGGGGUAAUGGCUCACCUAGGCGACGAUCCCUAGCUGGUCUGAGAGGAUGACCAGCCACACUGGAACUGAGACACGGGCCAGACUCUUACGGGAGGCAGCAGUGGGGAAUAUUGCACAAUGGGCGCAAGCCUGAUGCAGCCAUGCCGCGUGUAUGAAGAAGGCCUUCGGGUUGUAAAGUACUUUCAGCGGGGAGGAAGGCGGUGAAGUUAAUAGCUUCACCGAUUGACGUUACCCGCAGAAGAAGCACCGGCUAACUCCGUGCCAGCAGCCGCGGUAA